RNAcentral lists this small nuclear RNA (140 nucleotides) under Choloepus hoffmanni (Hoffmann's two-fingered sloth). RNAcentral's name for it is "U4 spliceosomal RNA (ENSCHOG00000015088.1)". It matches the Rfam family "U4 spliceosomal RNA". From Rfam's summary of the family: U4 small nuclear RNA (U4 snRNA) is a component of the major U2-dependent spliceosome. The record is from RNAcentral. Lineage: Eukaryota; Metazoa; Chordata; Mammalia; Pilosa; Megalonychidae.
AUCUUUGCGCAGAGCAGUAUUGUAGCCAAUGAGGUUUAUCCGAGGCGCGAUUAUUGCUAAUUGAAAACUAUUCCCAAUAUCCCGCGAUGACGACUUGUAAUAUAGUCGGUUUUGGCAAUUUUUGAUAGUCUCCAGAGGGA